AGUUCUUUUAUUGAAGAAGAAAAAAUAGUGGAAAAACUAUAUUGACGUUAUUCAAUGAAUAAGCCCCGGCUAACUAUGUGCCAGCAGCCGCGGUAAGACAUAGGGGGCGAGCGUUAUCCGGAAUUAUUGGGCGUAAAGGGUGCGUAGGCGGUUAGAUAAGUCUAUAAUUUAAUUUCAGUGCUUAACGCUGUCUUGUUAUAGAAACUGUCUUGACUAGAGUGAGAUAGAGGCAAGCGGAAUUCCAUGUGUAGCGGUAAAAUGUGUAAAUAUAUGGAGGAACACCAGAAGCGUAGGCGGCUUGCUGGGUCUUUACUGACGCUGAGGCACGAAAGCGUGGGGAGCAAACAGGAUUAGAUACCCUGGUAGUCCACGCUGUAAACGAUGAGUACUAAGUGUCGGGGAAACUCGGUACUGAAGUUAACACAUUAAGUACUCCGCCUGAGUAGUACGUACGCAAGUAUGAAACUUAAAGGAAUUGACGGGACUCCGCACAAGCGGUGGAUCAUGUUGUUUAAUUCGAAGAUACACGAAAAACCUUACCAGGUCUUGACAUACUCUGCAAAGCUAUAGAAAUAUAGUGGAGGUUAUCAGGGAUACAGGUGGUGCAUGGUUGUCGUCAGUUCGUGUCGUGAGAUGUUAGGUUAAGUCCUAAAACGAACGCAACCCCUGUCGUUAGUUGCCAGCACGUAAUGGUGGGGACUUUAGCGAGACUGCCAAUUAAACAUUGGAGGAAGGUGGGGAUAACGUCAAAUCAUCAUGCCCC
Molecule: ribosomal RNA, 763 nt
Filed under: Candidatus Phytoplasma ulmi
Lineage: Bacteria; Bacillati; Mycoplasmatota; Mollicutes; Acholeplasmatales; Acholeplasmataceae
Description: bacterial SSU rRNA
Rfam family: Bacterial small subunit ribosomal RNA
Source: RNAcentral